RNAcentral lists this unclassified non-coding RNA (1051 nucleotides) under Hevea brasiliensis (rubber tree). The record is from RNAcentral. Lineage: Eukaryota; Viridiplantae; Streptophyta; Magnoliopsida; Malpighiales; Euphorbiaceae.
AUUUUAAUGUUAAAAAAAAAAAAAUCAAAUGGCCCCAUUUAACCUAUCCUCUUUCUUCUCCAAAUAGUCACACACAAGUCCCAGCGCCACUUCCCAUGGUAGUAAAAUGCUGUGUGAUUUCAAUAUGUGCUGUGUUGAUAACAAUGGGCUUUUGCUUAGUGGUAUUAAAGUGGUUUUUAGACCUGUGAGAUCUCAAAUUCCUUACUUAACUUUGCUUCCCCAAUUCAAUCUGUGAUCCUCCAUUAAAUUAUUUCAAUAACAAAUAUACUUCACUAUUCAAUAAUGAAGCAGAAGAAAUUGAAGAAUUUGGUACUACUAAACACUAUUCAUAUGACCUCAAAGACCCUCCUCCUCUGCAGAAUUUUGCCAUGCUCUAUUUGUUUUCCCCAAACUUUUAAUCCUGCAUUUCAUUGCAAAAUUAAUUCUCAUAUUAAGCAAUGAUUCCCAUUGAUAAAUUCUCAAUUUAAUAUCAAAUAACACUUCCUGGCCUUAAUCUCACUACCAUGGUAAGUUCAAUAAUAAUAUUACAAUCUCAAUUCAAUAUUAAGAAAUGACAUAUCAUCCUGACAAACCAAUUCCCUUCUUCAAAAUCCCCAAGUUAAGAUUCCUUUUUAUGCUUUUAUACUUUCUCAAAAUUAAAUUCAUGAUUUUUUUUUCUCAAUUUCUUUUCAUAACUUACUACCUUAAUUCACUUCCAACAACCAUUCAGCUUUAAUUUACCAUUGCUCAUAUAACCAUCCUCUUCCCAAGCUGCAUUCUAAAAUCACAUCUUAAAAAAAAAAUACAAAGCUUCAACUUUCACUCAGUCUAGUCUUAUAUACAAGUUUAUCAUCUACUGCUUAUAUACAAUUAUCUAUUUCUUAAGCUUCAUUCUUUAUUCCCUCUGACUGAACAUGCCAAGCAUAAAAUUUGUACAGUUUUAACCAACAUUUUUUUAACUAAUACCUAAAACUAAUACUAAUCCCACCAAUACUUGCAUGUUGUAUAAGAGCCCAAAAUCAUACUUGCAAUUCAUUAAUGAGAAGGGUCAACUUUAAUAGAAAUCACUUAC